GUUUCAUUGAGCCUCCAAUUCGACAUCGGCUUUGGCACAGACUCAAAACCCAUUUCUAUAAAUACCGGAGCAUGGUCCGACAGUAGCAUAUUUCCUAUAGAGGCAUCAAUACACGAGGUUCAUUGAGCAGCCAUUAUGGCCUGAGAGUGAAGAACACCGAAACGUCUGCUGCAGAGAAAAGGGUGGGACGGAAAGAAGGGAAAUAUGGAAAAUGCAAUCCAAAAAAAAUAUAAAAAGAGUAACAUUAAUCCCUUGUAGGUGUCAAGUGAAGAUGUAUUGCUGAGCGCCAUAGUCCAUUCCAGUCCUUACGUAACAAGGUUUUCCUAGUAGGUAUAUAGGACUCCAGCAUUUCUGUUCAAGGAAGGAGUUAGACCUGAUGCAUCCUGUCCUCGGUGUGGAGUGAGUCCUGCUUCCUUGCUACACAUGUUCUGGGACUGUGCAGAGCUUAAUAAAUUCUGGGCUGAUGUGUUGGUAACUAUUAAAGACGCGUACAAUAUUGAGGUCUCGGCUAAUCCAGCGACAUGUGUACAGGGAAUACUGGACAUUAAAAGCCGUCAUUAUCGUCUGGGAGUGCAACGUCUGCUUUUCCAGGCUAGAAAACUGAUUGCUAAAUACUGGCUUAGACCCCAGGCCCCAUUGAGGUUGAGGGUUUUAAGAGUGAAUAAGUUAUGAUAGCUA
Long non-coding RNA from Bufo gargarizans (Asiatic toad), 678 nucleotides. RefSeq lists it as uncharacterized. The transcript has 4 exons. The record is from RefSeq and is a predicted model, not a curated record. Lineage: Eukaryota; Metazoa; Chordata; Amphibia; Anura; Bufonidae.